GAUGAACGCUAGCGGGAGGCCUAACACAUGCAAGCCGAGCGGUAUUGUUUCUUCGGAAAUGAGAGAGCGGCGUACGGGUGCGGAACACGUGUGCAACCUGCCUUUAUCUGGGGGAUAGCCUUUCGAAAGGAAGAUUAAUACUCCAUAAUAUAUUGAUUGGCAUCAAUUAAUAUUGAAAGCUCCGGCGGAUAGAGAUGGGCACGCGCAAGAUUAGCUAGUUGGUGAGGUAACGGCUCACCAAGGCGAUGAUCUUUAGGGGGCCUGAGAGGGUGAUCCCCCACACUGGUACUGAGACACGGACCAGACUCCUACGGGAGGCAGCAGUGAGGAAUAUUGGUCAAUGGGUGCAAGCCUGAACCAGCCAUCCCGCGUGAAGGACGACUGCCCUAUGGGUUGUAAACUUCUUUUGUAUAGGGAUAAACCUACCCUCGUGAGGGUAGCUGAAGGUACUAUACGAAUAAGCACCGGCUAACUCCGUGCCAGCAGCCGCGGUAAUACGGAGGGUGCAAGCGUUAUCCGGAUUUAUUGGGUUUAAAGGGUCCGUAGGCGGACUUAUAAGUCAGUGGUGAAAGCCUGUCGCUUAACGAUAGAACUGCCAUUGAUACUGUAAGUCUUGAGUAUAUUUGAGGUAGCUGGAAUAAGUAGUGUAGCGGUGAAAUGCAUAGAUAUUACUUAGAACACCAAUUGCGAAGGCAGGUUACCAAGAUAUAACUGACGCUGAGGGACGAAAGCGUGGGGAGCGAACAGGAUUAGAUACCCUGGUAGUCCACGCCGUAAACGAUGCUAACUCGUUUUUGGGCUUUAGGGUUCAGAGACCAAGCGAAAGUGAUAAGUUAGCCACCUGGGGAGUACGCUCGCAAGAGUGAAACUCAGAGGAAUUGACGGGGGCCCGCACAAGCGGUGGAUUAUGUGGUUUAAUUCGAUGAUACGCGAGGAACCUUACCAAGACUUAAAUGGGAAUUGACAGCUUUAGAAAUAGAGCUUUCUUCGGACAAUUUUCAAGGUGCUGCAUGGUUGUCGUCAGCUCGUGCCGUGAGGUGUUAGGUUAAGUCCUGCAACGAGCGCAACCCCUGUCACUAGUUGCCAUCAUUCAGUUGGGGACUCUAGUGAGACUGCCUACGCAAGUAGAGAGGAAGGUGGGGAUGACGUCAAAUCAUCACGGCCCUUACGUCUUGGGCCACACACGUAAUACAAUGGCCGGUACAGAGGGCAGCUACACAGCGAUGUGAUGCAAAUCUCGAAAGCCGGUCUCAGUUCGGAUUGGAGUCUGCAACUCGACUCUAUGAAGCUGGAAUCGCUAGUAAUCGCGCAUCAGCCAUGGCGCGGUGAAUACGUUCCCGGGCCU
RNAcentral lists this ribosomal RNA (1345 nucleotides) under uncultured bacterium. RNAcentral describes it as "bacterial SSU rRNA". It matches the Rfam family "Bacterial small subunit ribosomal RNA", at positions 28 to 1381 of the family's 1533-position model. The record is from RNAcentral.